GAUGAACGCUGGCGGCGUGCCUAAUACAUGCAAGUCGAGCGAACAGACGCUGCGCUUGCUCCUCUGACGUUAGCGGCGGACGUGUGAGUAACACGUGUAUAACCUACCUAUAAUACUGGUAUAACUUCGGGAAACCGGCGCUAAUACCGUAUAAUCUCUUGAACCGUAUUGUUCAUUAGUGAAUGACGGUUUUUCUGUCACUUCUAGCUGGAUCCGGGCCGCAUUAGCUAGUUGGUAAGGUAACAGGUUAUUACGGCAACGAUGCGUAGCCGAAGUAAGAGGGGGAUAGGCGACACUGGAAGUGAGACAGGGACAAGGGGCCUACGGGAGGCAGCAGUAGGGAAUCGGACGCAAUAGGCGAAAACAUGACAGAACAGGGGGGCGUCAGAGGUGGAGGUCUUGGGAGCGUAAAGCCCUGUUAUUGGGGAAGAACAAAUGUGGAAGUAACUAAGCAGUGAUUGACGGUAACUGAUAAGAAAGCAACGGCUAACUACGUG
RNAcentral lists this ribosomal RNA (497 nucleotides) under uncultured bacterium. RNAcentral describes it as "partial 16S ribosomal RNA". It matches the Rfam family "Bacterial small subunit ribosomal RNA", at positions 28 to 507 of the family's 1533-position model. The record is from RNAcentral.